GAGUAACGCGCGGGUAACCUGCCCUUAAAUUCGGGAUAACUUCGCGAAAGUGAUGCUAAUACCGGAUACUGUCCUUAAGACCUUGGUUUUUUGGAUGAAAGGUGACCUCUUCAUGAAAGUUGCCGUUUAAGGAGGGGCUCUCGUACCAUUAGCUUGUUGGUGGGGUAAUGGCCCACCAAGGCGACGAUGGUUAGCUGGUCUGAGAGGAUGAUCAGCCACACUGGAACUGAAACACGGUCCAG
This 242-nucleotide ribosomal RNA is filed under the name uncultured bacterium. RNAcentral describes it as "partial 16S ribosomal RNA". It matches the Rfam family "Bacterial small subunit ribosomal RNA", at positions 108 to 334 of the family's 1533-position model. The record is from RNAcentral.